AUACGUAGGUGGCAAGCGUUGUCCGGCUUUACUGGGUGUAAAGGGCGUGUAGGCGGAGAUGCAAGUCAGGAGUGAAAUCUAGGGGCUCAACCCCUAAACUGCUUUUGAAACUGUAUCCCUUGAGUAUCGGAGAGGCAGGCGGAAUUCCUAAUGUAGCGGUGAAAUGCGUAGAUAUUUGGAGGAACACCAGUGGCGAAGGCGUCCUGCUGGUCGACAACUGACGCUGAGGCGCGAAAGCGUUAGGAGCAAACAGGAUUUGAUGCCCUGGUAGUCCACGCUGUAAACGAUGAAUACUAGGUGUGGGGGGACUGACCCCCUCCGUGCCGCAGUUAACACAAUAAGUAUUCCACCUGGGGAGUACGAUCGCAAGAUUGAAACUCAAAUGAAUUGACGGGG
RNAcentral lists this ribosomal RNA (396 nucleotides) under uncultured bacterium. Its description in RNAcentral is "partial 16S ribosomal RNA". It matches the Rfam family "Bacterial small subunit ribosomal RNA", at positions 523 to 918 of the family's 1533-position model. The record is from RNAcentral.